UAGGGAAUCUUCGGUAAUGGACGAAAGUCUGACCGAGCAACGCCGUGUGAGUGAAGAAGGUUUUCGGAUCGUAAAACUCUGUUGUUUGAGAAGAACAAGGACGUUAGUAACUGAACGUCCCCUGACGGUAUCUAACCAGAAAGCCACGGCUAACUACGUGCCAGCAGCCGCGGUAAUACGUAGGUGGCAAACGUUGUCCGGAUUUAUUGGGCGUAAAGCGAGCGCAGGCGGUUUCUUAAGUCUGAUGUGAAAGCCCCCGGCUCAACCGGGGAGGGUCAUUGGAAACUGGGAGGCUUGAGUGCAGAAGGGGAGAGUGGAAUUCCAUGUGUAGCGGUGAAAUGCGUAGAUAUAGGGAGGAACACCAGUGGCGAAGGCGGCUCGCUGGUCUGUAACUGACGCUGAGGCUCGAAAGCGUGGGGAGCAAACAGG
This 429-nucleotide ribosomal RNA is filed under the name Gemmatimonadota bacterium. Its description in RNAcentral is "Gemmatimonadetes bacterium partial 16S ribosomal RNA". It matches the Rfam family "Bacterial small subunit ribosomal RNA", at positions 355 to 776 of the family's 1533-position model. Lineage: Bacteria; Pseudomonadati; Gemmatimonadota. The record is from RNAcentral.